RNAcentral lists this long non-coding RNA (1964 nucleotides) under Rosa chinensis. RNAcentral's name for it is "sRNA RchiOBHm_Chr7g0198301". Lineage: Eukaryota; Viridiplantae; Streptophyta; Magnoliopsida; Rosales; Rosaceae. The record is from RNAcentral.
CUCUGUUUACAGAUGGUAAUGAGGAUGGUAUUCGAGGUAUAAAUGAAGAUCUCUUUAUGAAUUGUUUAUUCAAAGAGUUAACAAUGUUUCUCACAUUGAGGUCUUCUUUUGAUUAAGGGGUGCAUAGAAAACAUUUCUGUACAUGUUUUAAUCGAGCCAAAGAAGACCUUAGCAUAGGUGGCAUUGUUAAUUCUUCAUGUGAUUGACCUAGUUCUACCUCUGUUUGAUAUUAAAUGUAUGAUUAGUCUAAUGUUUUAGAUUAGUUGUGUAAAGGAUUUCAAUGAUAGGUAACUUUAUAUCUGGGGUUAGGGAUUUUGACGUUUAGAAGUUCGACAUUUGAGGAUUGGGGUUUCAUUGUCUGGGGAGUUAAGAUUUGGGCUUUAGGUGUUCUUCACAGUUUGGGAUGUUGUUCCAUUUUCAUAUCAGUCGUGUAAAGUAUGUGACAAAGAAAAAGAGUAAUUGCAAGAAUUGCAAGGUUCUAUAUAUGGAAAUGUGAUGCAUGUAUUGAUUUGUCGAGGAGUAGAUAUGGGAUUCUUUUGAGCUUUAUUGCUGUUAGGACCAAGGAAUAGGGCUGAGGCUUUUUUCUUUGAGUUCAAUAUAAUUGUAUACGGAGUAUCUAGAGAUAUAGGAAAAAACAUGAAGCAACUAAAGAGAAAUUGAAUACAAGUUUACUAUAUGUAAAUGUGCUAUUUGGGUUAGACGUAAUGAGAUUGAUUAAUAUAUAUAGAGGUGCAAUUUGCCUUUAAGAUAAUGGAUAUAUCUUUACUGCUGCAUGAAUAUGUCAUUAUUGUAACGUUUGUCUAACUUAAGUUGUUUUGCUCUUUAAUUUUGAAACCCUCUUAAAACUCUUACAUGAUAUCAGCUUAAACCCAAUGUUCUCAUACUAAUUAAGAAAGUAAUAUUCAUCAGUGUAAUUCCAUUUUAAGAAACAUAACUAUUUUGCUUUAGUUUUAUCUUCCACAAUAUUUAAAUUUUCUUUUUGAAUGAAUGAGAAACUGGAAUGUUGUAUAAGAGUUCAAACUCAAUAAUAAAUUACAACCAGAUUUUCCCUGCUUUUCAAAAAUGUUCCAAUUCUAUCAUUUACAUCCUCUCAUUCACAUCCCGCAAUAAAGUGUGGGCAUUCUUACUAGUGGAAUAUAUAUAGCAUGUGCCUUCUGUAUAGAAUUUUAUGGACCUGCAGAAUGUCAUUCUACAUCACAACUUUCCUCACAUGAUAACAUUAAUUCUCUGUCAAAAUUAGUUAUGUUAAUUUAGUUUGGUCUCAAUUUUGCCAGGCUUGGUGUUGAAAGAGGAAUGCAAGCUAGUGUCUUAUAUUUGGCUAAGUUAUGUUUACCGUAGUAUUAUUUCUACUUAAUUCUAACAAUUUUUUGCUACACCUUUUGGAUCUCUCUCUGUCUCUUUCUCUUUCCCCCCUCCUCCCUGCCUAACAAUGUCUCUCUCUCGCUCGCUAUUUAGAUGAUGCACAUUUUCUCUAUAGAUAGAAAAAAAAUUGGUAGUUUGAUACUAACUUGCAUGGUGUCUUCUUCUUUAUAGUCAUCUGGGUUUGAUACGGUGUAAGCAAAAUUUGGAUUUUAUCUGAGAAUGCACUGAGCUACAAUGUAGUCUCCUUGUCAUUUCCAGAAGCUGUACUUCUAUUGUCUUUGGUAGGGAUUACAGAACUUGAGGUUUGGUACUUCAUAUGGUAUUGCUGGUAGCAGUGAGAAGGGGAGCAAGGGUAGAAGCUCGGGGAGCUUUAGAAAGAUGAUGAAGUGUCUUUGCUUGGGAGAGCAGUUAAGAGCACCAUAUGAUUUGGUAUUUUCAAAUGUGGAAUGAGUGGGCUAAGUUUGUCGUCAAUACAUAUAUCUAAGAGCUAUUAGAAUGACUUUUUGUGUUUGAUGAAUGUAUAGAUGAUUAGGAAAUACAUCAUUUGUAGUAUGUAUAGAUGACUAUAAUGUAUGAAUUUGAGUGCUUUAAUUGAUGAAUUG